UAGUUAUUGAAUUAAAAUAGAUUAAUAUUUGUGCCAGCAUUCGCGGUUAAACAAUUUAUUUGAACUAAUUUUUUAGGUUUAUAAUUUAUAAUAAAAUUGAGGUUUACAAUUUUAAUAUUUGGGUGGAAUUUAUAUUUUUAAUUAGUUUCUCAAAAUAAUUUUAAGUAAUUUUUACAUUAAACUAGGAUUAGAUACCCUAUUAUAAAUUAAUACAAUUUUAUCUGAAUGGUAUAAGUUAAUUUCUUUAAAGCUCAAAGAAUUUGGCGGUAAAAUAUCUAAUUAGAGGAACCUGUAGAUUAAUCGAUAAACCACGAUAAUUAAUACUUUUAUAUAAUUUGUAUACCGCUAUAUUUAAAUUUGUUUUGAAAAAAUAUUAUUUUUAACUAUAUGAAUGAUGUAAAUUAGGUCAAGGUGCAGUUUUUUAAAAGUUUUUAUGGGUUACUUUUAAUGUUAAAAUUGUAGGAAAAUGUUUUAAGAGAUUAUUUGAAUUAGGAUUUAAAAGUAAAUUUAUUUAAUAUAAUGAUUUGAAUUUUGCUCUAUUUUAUGUACAUAUCGCCCGUCACUCCUGAUUUAAGUCAGGAUAAGUCGUAACAAAGUAAUUUUACCGGAAGGUGAAAUUAGAGAUU
This 626-nucleotide ribosomal RNA is filed under the name Deltocephalinae sp. EMHAU-2015-Zz052318. Its description in RNAcentral is "partial 12S ribosomal RNA". Lineage: Eukaryota; Metazoa; Arthropoda; Insecta; Hemiptera; Cicadellidae. The record is from RNAcentral.